GGGGCUCUGGCUCAGUGGAAGAGCAUCUGCUUUGCAUGCAGAUGAUCCCAGGUUCAAUUCCUGGCAUCUCCA
This is a non-coding RNA of Sphaerodactylus townsendi, 72 nucleotides long. NCBI's taxonomy places the organism in Eukaryota, Metazoa, Chordata, Lepidosauria, Squamata, Sphaerodactylidae. The record is from the annotation of a RefSeq genome assembly.